Molecule: microRNA precursor, 86 nt
Filed under: Columba livia (rock pigeon)
Lineage: Eukaryota; Metazoa; Chordata; Aves; Columbiformes; Columbidae
Description: microRNA cli-mir-9632 precursor
Source: miRBase by way of RNAcentral
CUACUUCUGGUCAGGCCAGAAAUUUUGCAAGAGCAGCCUCUCUCAUGAUAUUUUGGCACUUUUGCUUCUGGUCUUGCCUGAAGCCU